Molecule: long non-coding RNA, 911 nt
Filed under: Phoenix dactylifera (date palm)
Lineage: Eukaryota; Viridiplantae; Streptophyta; Magnoliopsida; Arecales; Arecaceae
Description: long non-coding RNA (PDAC_LNC013107)
Source: RNAcentral
UGCUUGAUGAAUUGAUAACCUUUUUCUCUAGAAAUUUAUUGUUAAGUAAAGGAAUCAAGCCAAGUUUUGAUUUAUCACAAGCAACAUAUUGGCUUUCAAACAUCAUUUUUAAUCGUUCUGAGCUUACGGUGAAUUUGUUAAUAAAAGAUUUUAAUUGAUUAAUUUCUUUACUUAAGUUUUGAUUUUCUUUAAUUAAGCUAUGAUUUUUCUGAAUCAAUUCUUCUGAAAAUGACCUUAAACUUUUAUUUUCAGAAUUUAGUUUGUCUUAUAUUUCAGUAAUAGAAUUUCUUUUUUUCGAAAUUUCCAAAUUUAGCCUUUUAAGAUUUUUAUUUUUCCUAGCUAAUUUUCUACAUUCACUAUACAAAUCAUGAAAAGCAUUUAAAAGUUCAUCAUAAGAAUAUUUUUCAUAAAAGUCAUUUGGUGUAAGAUUAGAUUCAGAUUCUACUUUAUCUUCUUGUACCAUAAGACAUAAGUUAGUUACCUCUUGUAGUUCAUUGUUGCUCCUAACUUUCAAUUCCUUGUCUGACUUUCUCUUGGUCAAGGCUUUCUUGCGCUUUACCUCUUUCUUCCAUUCUUCUUGCUUCCUCUUCUUCUUUGUCUUUAGGAAGCUGAUUUGCCUCGGAGUUGACUCAGACCUUAUUGGAGUCGACUCGACUAACUUGGGAGUCGACUAUGAGCUACUUGGAGUCGNNNNNNNNNNNNAGAUUCAUCACCCUUUUCUGCAGUCUCAUUGUUAGUAUAUAAUUGAAGCAUAUGAGAGCUAAUCUGAGAUUUAUCAUAAAUAUUUUCUAAAGUAUCCCAGAUCUCCUUAGCAGAUAAGCAUGCAGAAAUUUCAUUAAACUUUGUUUCUUGAAUAGCACAAUAUAAUAUGUUCAUAGCAUUAGCAUUUAAUUGUGCUAAGUCCUUCUCNN